CGAAAGCACCCCUUUCUUUCCCACCCACCCCCCAAAAAAGAACCCCUAGAUUCGAAACUGCAGGCGGCUCCUCACGGGUUCCGAGAGAAACCGGUUCAAGAUGCCCCAACGCUGGAACGUGUGAACGUGUUUGGCAGUGAGAGGCAGAUGGAGGCUACAGAGCUGCAUAUACUGUGCACCGAUGGACUGAAAGAAAACCCCCUCCGCCGUGUGAAAAAAAUAAAAGGUCUAGAAGCAGAAUUGUGAGGGAAAGGGGUGAUUUAAGGAAGCGAGGAAUCUCACGAGCCUGUCAAAUUCCUCUUCAAGAUGUCUCAUCAAGUUGUGACAGCCAAAACCAAUGAGGAUGAAGAAUUUUUGUGACUGUUUCCCCGUGAUCACUACAGAGAACCUGAAAAGCAGUUAUGAACAUCUGCUGUCCUUUCACUGUAGUGUGGGAACCGUGUAGCACAACCUGCCCCCUACCCCUUCCUCCUUGACUUGAAUCAUAUUCCAUGCUUAAAAGGAUGAAUUGCCAGUUCUACUCUAGGUCAAGGUACUGCUUGAAUGAAAAGAAGGACUUUUCUAAUCCCCCUCCCUCAAAAGCAAAACAAAACAAACGAGUUUUCAAGUUCAGUUUGAAGAAGAGACAAUUGACACGAUAGCCAUCUUGAAAUAUUUGAAGGCCUGUCACAUGGCAGAUGGAACAAGCUUGUUUCCUGCUGUUCCAGGGGGCCGGGCCCAUAUCAAUGGUUUCACGUGAAAAGGCAGGAGCUUCCCACUAAACACUGGGAUAACAGAGCAGUUCAUUGGGAGAACUGGCUCUCUGAAAAGGUGGUAGACUCUCCUUUGUGGGAGGUUUUUGAAACAGUUGUGGAUGGCUAUCAGUCAGGGAUGUUUUGGGCAUAAUUUUCCUGCAUAGGAAAGAGGCUGGUUAUCAUUGGGGGUACCAUGCAGUUUUUGAGAUUCUACGAUUCUAGAUUUGGAAGGGGAAGACUUGAGGAGGCAAGACACCUUUAAAGGUGGUUUGGCUUGUUGAGUGUUCUUAAUCAGUAAAACUGGCUCCCAGACCCAUGAGAUUGGCUAACUCUUGGUUUACCAUUACCCAUGUUUUUCCCUUUAAAGGCAGUGGCAAGAGAUGAAGCUGUCCCAUGGUAUCUUGAUCUUUCUAGGUCUCUUUGCCUGUUAAAAACAUUUAUUCCUUUUAUUUUUCCUCUUGAGGCACAGAUUUGUGCUAUUUAUACAAUCCGACAAGUUUAGAAAAGGUUUAAUAACCCCCAACUGCUUCCACAAGUUGGCACAGAUUGUCAGCCUUGGCUGCAAGGAUAGGCAGGACUGCCAGAGCCUGGUGCUUAGAUAGCACAGUUCAGGCAUCCUGGCAGAUCAGGGGAAACCCACAUAGCACCCACCUACACAGCACCUGUGCUGCAAAUCAGGCAGACACUCGUCGCGGAGGAGCCAAGAUCUACAAGACCAUAAAUAUUAUACCAAUAAGAAGGAGGUAGGGUCAAAAAAGCAGAGCAACUCCCCCCCCCCAAAAAAAACAGUUAUGUUCGCAAACAUUUUUGGCCAAUUAAUAAUGCAAAAUAGGAAGGAUCUCCAACUCAAUUUUUUAGGGGAAAAAAACUCUACUGUUCAAGUGUAUUUAAACUUCUUCCCCUGGGACGAGCAAGGAAACCAUAUUUGGUCUCUUUUAUAUGAUACUCUUUCAGAGAUAUUCAGGUAUGUUGUAUUCCAGGCGGAGCAUAACCUGUUCCUUCACCCCUUUCUCAUAUAGCUUGUUCUUCACAAUGGGGCCAAAGCUCUCAAAGUUCUGUUCUCAUAUGUCUAAGCUACAGUGUGAAAAGAAGAGAGGAACCCCCAUGAGUGUCUUUUGGGAUGGAAUGGCAGUACAGUGG
This is a non-coding RNA of Pogona vitticeps (central bearded dragon), 1874 nucleotides long. NCBI's taxonomy places the organism in Eukaryota, Metazoa, Chordata, Lepidosauria, Squamata, Agamidae. The record is from RefSeq and is a predicted model, not a curated record.